GUGUUCACUUUUGCAGCACAUAUAUUAAGACUAGAAUGACUCAGAGAUAAUUAGCAUGGCCCCUGCACAAGAAUGACACGCAUAUUCAUAAAGAGGCCUCCACCCUA
Mesocricetus auratus (golden hamster) is the source of this 107-nucleotide small nuclear RNA. The record is from Ensembl. Lineage: Eukaryota; Metazoa; Chordata; Mammalia; Rodentia; Cricetidae.